This 429-nucleotide ribosomal RNA is filed under the name Bacteroidota bacterium. RNAcentral's name for it is "Bacteroidetes bacterium partial 16S ribosomal RNA". It matches the Rfam family "Bacterial small subunit ribosomal RNA", at positions 355 to 776 of the family's 1533-position model. The record is from RNAcentral. Lineage: Bacteria; Pseudomonadati; Bacteroidota.
UAGGGAAUCUUCGGCAAUGGGGGGAACCCUGACCGAGCAACGCCGCGUGAGUGAAGAAGGUUUUCGGAUCGUAAAGCUCUGUUGUUAAGGAAGAACGAGUGUGAGAAUGGAAAGUUCAUACUGUGACGGUACUUAACCAGAAAGGGACGGCUAACUACGUGCCAGCAGCCGCGGUAAUACGUAGGUCCCGAGCGUUGUCCGGAUUUAUUGGGCGUAAAGCGAGCGCAGGCGGUUAGAUAAGUCUGAAGUUAAAGGCAGUGGCUCAACCAUUGUGGGCUUUUGAAACUGUUUAACUUGAGUGCAGAAGGGAGGAGUGGAAUUCCAUGUGUAGCGGUGAAAUGCGUAGAUAUAUGGAGGAACACCAGUGACGAGGGCGACUCUCUGGUCUGUAACUGACGCGGAGGCUCGAAAGCGUGGGUAGCAAACAGG